CUCAGACAGCCAGGAUGUUGGCUUAGAAGCAGCCAUCAUUUAAAGAAAGCGUAAUAGCUCACUGGUCGAGUCGGCCUGCGCGGAAGAUUUAACGGGGCUAAGCUAUACACCGAAGCUGCGGCAAUGCAUUUUAUGUAUUGGGUAGGGGAGCGUUCUGUAAGCCGUUGAAGGUGGUCUGUAAGGGCUGCUGGAGGUAUCAGAAGUGCGAAUGCUGACAUGAGUAACGAUAAAGGGAGUGAAAAACUCCCUCGCCGGAAGAUCAAGGGUUCCUGUCCAACGUUAAUCGGGGCAGGGUAAGUCGACCCCUAAGGCGAGGCCGAAAGGCGUAGUCGAUGGGAAACAGGUUAAUAUUCCUGUACUGCUUAUAACUGCGAUGGGGGGACGGAGAAGGCUAGGUGGGCUUGGCGACGGUCGUCCAAGUUCAAGGGUGUAGGCUGAUUUCUUAGGUAAAUCCGGGAAAUCAUUAAGGCUGAGACCCGAUGUCGAGUCACUACGGUGAUGAAGUCAUUGAUGCCAUGCUUCCGGGAAAAGCCUCUAAGCUUCAGGUUAUAAGCAAUCGUACCCCAAACCGACACAGGUGAUCAGGUAGAGAAUACCAAGGCGCUUGAGAGAACUCGGGUGAAGGAACUAGGCAAAAUGGUACCGUAACUUCGGGAGAAGGUACGCUCCUAGCGGUGAUGA
RNAcentral lists this ribosomal RNA (681 nucleotides) under Photobacterium jeanii. Its description in RNAcentral is "bacterial LSU rRNA". It matches the Rfam family "Bacterial large subunit ribosomal RNA", at positions 1084 to 1766 of the family's 2925-position model. The record is from RNAcentral. Lineage: Bacteria; Pseudomonadati; Pseudomonadota; Gammaproteobacteria; Vibrionales; Vibrionaceae.